GAUGAACGCUAGCGGGAGGCUUAACACAUGCAAGUCGAGGGGCAUCACGAGGUAGCAAAUACUUUGGUGGCGACCGGCAAACGGGUGAGUAACGCGUAUGUAACCUACCCUGUACAGGGGGAUAACCCGGAGAAAUUCGGACUAAUAUCCCAUAACAAUAUCCGGGGGCAUCUUUGGAUAUUUAAAGUUCCGGCGGUACGGGAUGGGCAUGCGUAACAUUAGCUAGUUGGUAAGGUAACGGCUUACCAAGGCUUUGAUGUUUAGGGGUCCUGAGAGGGUGGUCCCCCACACUGGUACUGAGACACGGACCAGACUCCUACGGGAGGCAGCAGUGAGGAAUAUUGGUCAAUGGGCGCAAGCCUGAACCAGCCAUCCCGCGUGCAGGAAGACGGCGCUAUGCGUUGUAAACUGCUUUUCCAGGGAGAGAAACUUGCGCACGUGUUGCGCAAUUGACGGUACCCUGGGAAUAAGCAUCGGCUAACUCCGUG
RNAcentral lists this ribosomal RNA (488 nucleotides) under uncultured bacterium. RNAcentral's name for it is "bacterial SSU rRNA". It matches the Rfam family "Bacterial small subunit ribosomal RNA", at positions 28 to 507 of the family's 1533-position model. The record is from RNAcentral.